UUAAUUUGUUAGAAAUAUCCUUUUUCUGGGCUCUUGCGAAGGGUCUGGGAACAACUACUGACCAUGAAAACGCAGAGGAAAGGAAUCUUGACCACUUGGGAGAAGCAGCCUCCAUUAUGUCUCCUUCUGCUCCCUGGCAGUCCAGUCCUGCCGAAGAUCAGAGGCCCAGAUUAUUGAAGGAGACUCCGUGGACAUGCCCAAGUAGUUGCUGUGACAACUCACCAAAGGUUCUAAACUGUGGGUCUUGUCCUUGGAAAGCUUUGAAAUCUUCCCCGAACGACUGAUUCCCAGGCAAUUUCUCAAACAUGACUCCUAGUCCCCCACUGAAAGGCCACAGAGGUUCGGCGGCGAUGGCGCAGAAGAGAGGGCCUCUUCGGAGGUUAGCAGAUCCCCGAACGAGGCUUUCUGUCCAUCCAUCAGACCCCACCCCCACCCAGGGACAAAAACACCUCUUCCCUCUCUCUCUCUCUCUCCGCUGCCCUCCCGGUGAUUGGUGAAUCCCCACAAAAAUAAAUCGU
Meriones unguiculatus (Mongolian gerbil) is the source of this 518-nucleotide long non-coding RNA. RefSeq lists it as uncharacterized. The transcript has 3 exons. The record is from RefSeq and is a predicted model, not a curated record. NCBI's taxonomy places the organism in Eukaryota, Metazoa, Chordata, Mammalia, Rodentia, Muridae.